UUACGACUCUAACAAAGAUAAAUGAAAACCUUUGUGCAGGUAACUGUCUUUGCUGUUGGAGAGACGACUGGGUUGGCUGGUUGGAUAAAUGAUUGCAUACAUGCAAGAUGAAUGAAUGCAUGUUAUGGACUUUAAGUUGGAUUUAACAAAUCCAUAUACAUUUUCAGUACAGUUUAAAUGAGCCUCUGUUAAAUUGUGUACUUUUCUUUUUAAAAACAUAUUUUGAGAACUGUAUGUCCAUCCGUUGUCUAUAGUUCACGUUGAGUUGCAAUAAAUGCAGACCUCUG
Thalassophryne amazonica is the source of this 287-nucleotide long non-coding RNA. RefSeq lists it as uncharacterized. NCBI's taxonomy places the organism in Eukaryota, Metazoa, Chordata, Actinopteri, Batrachoidiformes, Batrachoididae. The transcript is spliced from 3 exons. The record is from RefSeq and is a predicted model, not a curated record.